AGUCGAACGGUAAGGCCCCUUCGGGGGUACACGAGUGGCGAACGGGUGAGUAACACGUGAGUAACCUGCCCUUGACUCUGGGAUAACAGCUGGAAACAGGUGCUAAUACCGGAUACGAACCUCCUCGGCAUCGAGGAGGUUGGAAAGCUCCGGCGGUCAAGGAUGGACUCGCGGCCUAUCAGCUUGUUGGUGAGGUAACGGCUCACCAAGGCUCCGACGGGUAGCCGGCCUGAGAGGGCGACCGGCCACAUUGGGACUGAGAUACGGCCCAAACUCCUACGGGAGGCAGCAGUGGGGAAUAUUGCACAAUGGGCGAAAGCCUGAUGCAGCAACGCCGCGUGCGGGAUGACGGCCUUCGGGUUGUAAACCGCUUUCAGCAGGGACGAAGCGAAAGUGACGGUACCUGCAGAAGAAGCACCGGCUAACUACGUGCCAGCAGCCGCGGUGAUACGUAGGGUGCGAGCGUUGUCCGGAUUUAUUGGGCGUAAAGAGCUUGUAGGCGGUUUGUCGCGUCGGGAGUGAAAACUCAGGGCUUAACCCUGAGCCUGCUUCCGAUACGGGCAGACUUGAGGAAGGUAGGGGAGAUUGGAAUUCCUGGUGAAGCGGUGGAAUGCGUAGAUAUCAGGAGGAACACCAGUGGCGAAGGCGGAUCUCUGGACCUUUCCUGACGCUGAGAAGCGAAAGCGUGGGGAGCAAACAGGCUUAGAUACCCUGGUAGUCCACGCCGUAAACGGUGGGUACUAGGUGUGGGGAACAUUCCACGUUCUCCGUGCCGCAGCUAACGCAUUAAGUACCCCGCCUGGGGAGUACGGCCGCAAGGCUAAAACUCAAAGGAAUUGACGGGGCCCCGCACAAGCGGCGGAGCAUGCGGAUUAAUUCGAUGCAACGCGAAGAACCUUACCUGGGUUUGACAUAUGCCGGAAACACCUAGAGAUAGGUGCCCCUUUAUGGUCGGUAUACAGGUGGUGCAUGGCUGUCGUCAGCUCGUGUCGUGAGAUGUUGGGUUAAGUCCCGCAACGAGCGCAACCCUCGUCCUAUGUUGCCAGCGGAUAACGCCGGGGACUCAUAGGARACCGCCGGGGUCAACUCGG
This 1091-nucleotide ribosomal RNA is filed under the name Tessaracoccus sp. Its description in RNAcentral is "bacterial SSU rRNA". It matches the Rfam family "Bacterial small subunit ribosomal RNA", at positions 60 to 1166 of the family's 1533-position model. The record is from RNAcentral. Lineage: Bacteria; Bacillati; Actinomycetota; Actinomycetes; Propionibacteriales; Propionibacteriaceae.